This is an RNA transcript of Olea europaea var. sylvestris, 2304 nucleotides long. It is a transcript of the gene named calcineurin subunit B-like, with no coding region annotated. NCBI's taxonomy places the organism in Eukaryota, Viridiplantae, Streptophyta, Magnoliopsida, Lamiales, Oleaceae. The transcript is spliced from 8 exons. The record is from RefSeq and is a predicted model, not a curated record.
AUAAAUUUCCUCGUCACCUUGCCAAAAAAAACAAGAUUGCAUUUUUGGCUAAGCAGACUCUAUCCAAAUUUUUCUCAUAUUAUUACGCAUUAUAGAUUCUUAUCCUUCACUUUACUAUACCUUUUCUUUCUUCAUUCUGGUCCCUUCGAUUCAGAAAUAUCUUGGAAUUUCAGUGAAAUUUAGCAAUGGGCAGCGCUUCAUCGAUGUUAACUCAGUAUGAAAUUGAAGAAGUUCAAGAACACUGUAAUUAUCUGUUUACUCAGCAAGAAAUAGUGUCUGUGUAUAAGAGAUUUUGCCAACUCGAUAAGAAUGCAAAGGGGUUCAUAUCAGCAGAUGAGUUUUUAUCAGCACCUGAGUUUGCAAUGAAUCCACUUUCUCAGAGGCUACUGAAGUUGGUGGAUGGAUUGAAUUUCAAGGAAUUCGUUGCAUUCUUGUCAGCUUUCAGUGCUAAAGCAACGGUGCCUCAAAAAAUUGAGAUUAUUGUUGAAAAAUGAAUUGCCACAUGGAUGAGCUGACAUGGACAAGCCACGUAAACAGCCUGAGGAAGUAUUCUAGAAGAAGAAAGAUAUAGCCACUUGCGUGAGGAAUAUUCUAACAGAAGAGUAGUGUAGAAGAUGAGGGAUUCUUUCUCUUUCCAAUUCUGUUAUGAUUGUAUAAUAGUCACAUUUCUAUAUAUAGCUGUAAAUAUUAAUUCAUAUAUACAAGAUACAGGAGAAAUAGUUCUGCAUUUUCGUCAUUCUCCUCUGCAUAAUUGUUUUUUUCAUUUUCUGAUAGUUAUCUUCAAAAUAUACAACUCUGAUUGCAAUGGAAAGGUAACAUUUAAUGACAUAAUACAAGUGCUCCAUGAUUUGACUGGCUCAUUCAUGUCAGAUAAGCAAAGAGAGGAAGUAUUAAGCCAACUUUUGCAUGAAGCUGGUUAUACAAAGGAAUCUUAUCUUCUGUUAGAUGACUUUGUCAAGAUAUUAGACAACCCGGUUUGAAAAUGGAGGUGGAUGUCCCCGAUGACUAGCAAAGCUUGCUCUUCUCAUCUCGUCAUUGAUAGAAGAUAAAUGGAAUUAUGGAAGAGUAUUCGGGCUUGAGGCUUCCCAUUGUAGAUGUGCACAUGUGUACCUGUAUUAGUGUUCCUCAUUUUCUUUUUUUCUUAAGAUAGGAAAAGGAAUAUCUAUACUUACAAUUGAAAAUAAGCUGAAAGGUGGAUCACAACAUAGUAUUGGUGCAAGUUGAUUGGUCUAAAGAAUAUAACUUGGAUUGUGCUAGUUAUGGGGUGAUAUGGACCAUAGAUUAAAUCCAAUGGUUGGAUUUAAUCUAGUGGUCAAUUACCUAUACUAGUAUUGUCACUCUCUAAACCAUAGUACAAUAUUUGAAUUUUGAAUUCAAAUGAAUUGGCUCUAUAAUUUCAAGACCUCUUCAUUCUCUCUACUUGGACUUGGCAUAACAUUUGAGAGAGAGCAUAGAGAGGUAACCAAGUGGGAGCUUUCCAUAACUCCGACGAAAUUCUUAGUGGCUUCCGACGGAUCAUUUCUCGGUAUAUCCAUUGCCAUUCCCAUGGACGACGGUGCAUGAUCCGAUGUGGCACAAAUCUGAGCUCAACAUCAAGAACACUUCAUUGGUGGUGUUGAAGAAGCUUUGAAUCGGUUUUGAUGGUAUCAGAGCUUAGGCUAGUGGUAAAAAGUGUUAAAACAACUUCAAAAUCAGAUUAGAAGUCGAAGGGGUUCGGUUUUGUUCGAAAACAAGUUGAGCAGAAACUUUGAACCCAUUUUCUGAAAAAAGUACACAUCUGGUGGACGAACGGAGACCACCACCAGACUCCGGACGUCAAGCACUAUAUUCCAGUGAAGCGCGGGUGAGUCACGCGCCGACGGUGGAGGUGGCAUGUGAGACCACACGAAGAGAACAAAGGCGACACGUGAGGGCGCAUCGUGAGGUUUCAACUGGAGAUCAAAAAAUACAGAUUCUUCCUUGAUGAAUUUCUGACAUUCUGGUGGUGUUGGAUUUCUGUUUGGUGCACUGUGGAAGAAGAUACAGUCUUGGGCAGAAAAGUGGAAACGGAGAAACUUUUCCGUUAGCGGCUCGGUGGUGUUUCCUAGUGUUUCAGCGGCUGUUGGAUGACUUAGGGUUGUUACUGGAGGCUUCAAAUCGAUAAAGACUCGCAUCUCUCCUUAAAAUACGAACCAAUAGAUUGGUUCGCUUGGUUUGCGCAUUUUAAGACCCUCUCGAAUUUAUAAUUGAAAUAUUGUGUUAUUUACUGCCAUAUUGUUACUUGACUCUUGUGAUAUUGGUUAUGUGUUACUUGUUAUGAUAUCA